GACGAACGCUCGCGGCGUGCUUAACACAUGCAAGUCGAACGGAAAGGCCCUGCUUUUGUGGGGUGCUCGAGUGGCGAACGGGUGAGUAACACGUGAGUAACCUGCCCUUGACUUUGGGAUAACUUCAGGAAACUGGGGCUAAUACCGGAUAGGAUCUCCUGCUGCAUGGUGGGGGUUGGAAAGUUUCGGCGGUUGGGGAUGGACUCGCGGCUUAUCAGCUUGUUGGUGGGGUAGUGGCUUACCAAGGCUUUGACGGGUAGCCGGCCUGAGAGGGUGACCGGCCACAUUGGGACUGAGAUACGGCCCAGACUCCUACGGGAGGCAGCAGUGGGGAAUAUUGCACAAUGGGCGGAAGCCUGAUGCAGCAACGCCGCGUGCGGGAUGACGGCCUUCGGGUUGUAAACCGCUUUCGCCUGUGACGAAGCGUGAGUGACGGUAAUGGGUAAAGAAGCACCGGCUAACUACGUG
Molecule: ribosomal RNA, 468 nt
Filed under: uncultured bacterium
Lineage: Bacteria
Description: partial 16S ribosomal RNA
Rfam family: Bacterial small subunit ribosomal RNA
Source: RNAcentral